UGGAAGGCAACGUAAGUAGGCUACUAUAUAUUACCUAGCCCCAACUCAGUUCUUGAAACUGUAAACUGAUGUUAGGCUUGGUUGGGUGCAAAGCCAUGUGCUGCAUGGACAAGGAGGGGCCUUCAAGAAGUGGCUGAGAAGGUGCUGCAUGAAGAGUCAAGGUGGAGCAAUGAGCAUAGCCACACAGUAUAUCUGGUCCCCUCUGCAAAGUGGUUUAGUGACAAUAGAUCCAAUCCCUUUAGCUGGAAACCGACAACAGAUAGUCUGAACAAAGACAAAAAUAAACAAAACAUGAAGGGAACAAUAUGUUAACCGAUCCAAUUGGGUACAUAUGGGAAUUCAAGAGAGUCAGGGUUUUAGAACCUGAAAAGCCACACUAUUCACAAGCCAUUCAAUGCCUACACACAACAAUUGAAGCUUCCCCUAUGUUGGGCUGCAUAUGGAGAUUAAACCUCACUGAAAGAAAAAAGUAAGUUCUAAAACUUACAAUCAAUUUUUCAAGGUAGACAAAGAUGUGGAUCCAAACAAGGAACAUGGCUUCCAUACAGUGGGAAGGAACCAAGUUGGAUUGAAAAGCAUUGAAGAGUUUGAGAGCUGGGCACGUUUGGUUUCUGUUCGUAGACCACUAUUAAUUCAUACAUUACACCACAAUUAUUAAUUUUCCCUCCGUUUUUUCAGAAGCCAAACACAACUAUAAGAGUGAAAGAAACAAAAAAAUGAAAAGGAAGUCACCUGUUUGUAAGUGGGGUUUGUGAGCCGAUCCAAAAGCUAUAGCUCCUGUUGUUAAUUGUUCAGAAAAUGGUUUCUUAUGAAACAAAUCCAUUGAGACGCCAAUACCAAGAAGAGAGAGAGAGGAAGCUAUAGCACUAUUGCUUGGCUUGAAACCCAACUUAAGUAGAAGUUGGCCUGUUUUCCAAUCUGUGUUUCUUUUAUUCAUCACUGUGUUUGGCUACUGUGAAAACAGAUGAAAGUAGUACAUGGCUUGAAGUACCAUAUAUGAAUUUGUGCCGCUUUGGGAUUGUAUACAUAACUCAUAAAAGCAAACCCUCUUCUGCCUAGAAUUUGAAGAACUGUAAAAAUCAGAUUUUUGAACGAAAAGUGAAUGGGGUUUGCUGAUUUGGCCUCAAUAAGGCCUUCUUUGAAAGCUUAUUCAUGGUGAGCUGCUUUUUUAUGUUGAACUGAUUUUAUCCACAACUCAUUUGGAGGUAAUAAGCAAUAUACUCUCAAGGGAAGAAAAGAAAACAUGGAGAAAACACCUUCUAAAUUCUCAUUGUAUAUGUAUUAUCAAACUAAACUAGUGUGGAUCAUUUUUACAAACAAAAAAAAGAGACUUUGAUUUCUUUAAAAGGCACAUAGUAGUAACUGCUCAUUGCUCUCUCCUUGAUGGAAGUAUGCCGAGGAUGAGCAGUUAUGUGAAGUUAGAGACAUGAUCAGAGCUCUCUCCAAAUCUUUUGCUACACCGUGUUGGAUGAUUGAGAUUGCAUAGUCCAUGAAGAUUGAAUCACAUGGCAAUAUGAUGGGGCCUUCACUUUCUACCCCAAACUCCUCCUCAGACAUUUGUGAAAGCUCUCUGAAGAUCUCAUUACUGAGAUACACCAAAGGAAUCACAAAGCGUCUCCUAUCAGUGUUGUACACAACAAAAUGGCCCUUGUCUGCCACAGCUGAUGUACUACAACAGUCAGCAUCCAAAACCAAAUCUGUUCUUGGAAGAGAAAUUCUCUUCCCCUUCAUGGUAGAGCUUCUUAGCAUUUAUCAUGCUGUCUUACUCUCUAUAUUAUGGACAGAUGGCUUUGAGAAAAAGGAGAAAAAAAAAUUGAAGAGGGAGACAAAAAACACAUGAAGAAAAUGCUUUGAGAAUUCUCACUAUAUUCUAUAUAUUUUAUCAAACUAAAUUCUGUGGAUCAUUUACAAAAUUUAAGUACGAUCUCUUCAGAAGGCACAUAAUAGUAAUGAUUCAUUGUUCUGUUCUUGGUGGAAGUAUGAAGAAGAUGAGCAGCUACUGGAAGCUAUAGACAUGAUCAAAGCUCUCUCCAAAUCUUUUUCAACUCCUCGUUGGAUGAAUGAGAUCACAUAAUCCAUAAAGACUGAAUCACACGGCAAUAUGAUGGGGCCUGCACUUUGUAUCCCAAACUCCUCCUCAGACAUUUGAAAAAGCUCUCUGAAGAUUUCACUAUUAAGAUAAGCCAAGGGAAUUGCAAAGCGUCUUCUGUCAGAGCUGUAAACAACAAAAUGACCCCUAUCAGCCACUGUUGAUGUGCUGCAGCUGUCUGCAUCCACACCCCUGUUGAUUCUCUGUAAUGAAAUCCUCUUCCUUCCUAGGGCUGCUACCUUCUGCCAUUUCCUUGCCAUUCUGAUGAGUUUCUUUGGACUGAUCAUGCUGUCCUAGUCUCAAGUUGGAGGGCGAAUAGUUCAAGCAAGAAUUUUCAGAAAGAAGGGAGAUUUGCAGCUAGAACUCUAGAAAGGUGGUGUUGUGCUGAUUGGAAGGCAAUGCAAGUAGGCUAUUAUAUAUUACCGAGCCCCAACUCAGUCCUUGAAGCAAUAAACUGAUGUUAGGCUUGGUUGGGUGCAAAGCCAUGUGCUGCAUGGACAAGGAGGGGCCUUCAAGAAGUGGCUGAUAAGGUGCUGCAUGAAGAGUCAAGGUGGAGCAUUGAGCAAAGCCACACAGCAUAUCUGGUCCUAUCUACCAAGUGGUUUAGCGACAAUAGAUCCAAUCUGUUUAGCUGGAAAUCGACAACAGAUAGUCUGAACAAAGACAAAAAUAAACAAAUCAUGGAGGGAACAAUAUGUUAACAGAUCCUUUCCUUUCUUAUAUCAAUUGGGUACAUAUGGAAUUUAAGAGGGUCAGGGUUUUAGAACCUGAAAAGCCACAUAAUGCACAAGCCAUUCAGUGCCUACACACAUUGUCUGAAGUUUCCCCUGUGUUGGGCUGGAUAUGAUAUGGAGAUUAAACCUAACUGAAAGAAAAAAGGAAGUUCCACAAAUUUACAAUCUAUUCUUCAAGGUAGAGAAAGACAUAGAUCCAAACAAGGAACAUGGCUGGCAUAUGGUGGGAAGAAACCAAGUGGGAUUUACAAAGCAUGGAAGCUUUUGAGAGCUGAGCAUGUUUUCUUGCUGUUCAUAGACCACUAAUUUAAUUCAUACAUUACACCACAAAUAUUACUUUUCCCCCUGUUUUCUCAGCAGCCAAACACAACUAUAAGAGUAAAAGAAACGAAACAAAAAAAUAAAUAAAAAUGAAAAAAAAAGUCAUCUGUUUGUAAGUGGGGUUUGUGAGUCAAGCCAAGAGCUAUGGAUCCUGUUGUUAAUUGUUCACAAAUUGGUUUCUUAUGAGACAAAUCCAUGGAGACCCUAGAAAACCCAACUUACAAAGAAGUUAGUCUGUUUUCAUAUUUCUGUUUCUUUUAUUCAUCACUGUGUUUGGCUUCUGGGAAAACAGGGGAAAGUAGUACAUGGCCUGUAGUACUCUAUAUGAAUUUGUGCCUCAUUUGGAUAGCAUACACUCGUAAAACAAACUCUCUUCUGCCUAGAAGUUGAGUAAUUGUAAAAUCAGAUUUUAGAACAAGAAGCAAAUGAGGUUUGGUGAUUUGGCCUCAAUAAGGCCUUCUUUGAUAGCUCAUUCACACUGAGCUGCUUUUUAAUGUUUAACAGAUUUUGUCCACCACUCUCUUGGAGGCAAUAAGCAUUAUACUCUCGAGGGAAGACAAAAAAACAUGAAGAAGAUAGCUUAGAAAUUCUCAUUUUAUAAAUAUUGUCAAACAAGACUUGUGUGGAUCAUUUACAAACAAACAAAAAAGAAGGAUGAUUUCUUUAGAAGGCACAUAGUAGUAAUUGCUCAUUGCUCUGUCCUUGAUGGAAGUAUGCAGAGGAUGAGCAGUUACUUGAACCUAUAGACAUGAUCAAAGCUCUCUCCAAAUCUUUUGCUACACCACGUUGGAUGAAUGAGAUUGCAUAGUCCAUAAAGACUGAAUCACAUGGCAAUAUGAUGGGGCCUUCACUUUGUACCCCAAACUCCUCCUCAGACAUUUGCAAAAGCUGUCUGAAGAUUUCAUUGUUGAGAUACACCAAAGGAAUCACAAAGCGUCUCCUAUCAGCACUGUAAACAACAAAAUGGCCCUUAUCUGCCACUGAUGAUGUACUACAACAGUCAGCAUCCAAAACCAUAUCUGUUCUUGGUAGAGAAAUUCUCUUCCUCUUCAUGGCAGCUAUCUUCUGCCACUUCCUUGCCAUCUUGAUGAGUUUCUUGGGAUUGAUCAUGGUUAUUCACUGAGUAACAAGAGAAAACUUUGAACAAGUGAAGAAAGGGGACUUCAAUCUUUGGAAUCUCGAAUGGUAUUGCUGUGUUGUUUGGGAUGCAGAAUGGAAGAAGGUUAGUUAUAUAGUAAUGAGGACUCAGACAGUAGAUAGUUGUAUUUUUCAUUUUGUGGGGAUCCAAUGAAUGCAAAGCCAUGUGCUGGUUGGACCACAAGGCCAUUAAGAGGUAGGCAAGUUUGGUUGUAUUCUGUGAUCAAUGAAUUCAGAAGUUCAUGACAGCAGAUACUUCUCCUUUCAUUUUGCCAAGUUAUCUGCAGACAUAGCAGAAGAUACGUAUUUUUACAUUUUGCUAAGUGAUCUGCAGACACAGUGGUGCCAUUGAGUUUAGGUGUCUGCUCAUUCUAACCACAGAAGUCCAUGUAUUGGCAAAGGCUCAAGAAAACUAUCACAGAUCAAUCUAACAAUCAUAUUAUUUGGGAAAGGUAAGACGAAGCCCUCAAACAUUUAUGACAAAAUGAGUGGUAUUCAUUUAAAAGUUGUCCUUCCAAGCUGAUUGGGGACCACAGUCUGCUUGCCAUUAGAAGCCAUUUCUCUCACCUUCUACAUCAAACGGAUUUUUAUAAUUGCAAUAACAUUUCUGGAGGUCAGUGAAAGUUGGUGAAUACUGCUAUAAUUCAACCCUGGAGCAAAUCUAAUCACAAUAGCAUUGAAAAGAAAAGCAGGGUUUUCCAAGCUAUGUAGGGGUUAUGAGGCUUAACAUGGUUCUAUUGAACUUUGUGGCGAAGGCUGAGCCAGUGUGAAUGAGUUAUUGCUUUAAAAUCCUAUUCUAAAUUGUUCUACAAUCCAUGUUUAUUCAGAUUUCAAUUUUUAAUUGCUAUUGAGUACUCACCAAAACAUUUUUAUGGAGACAACAAAGUUUGAAGAUUUCAGAAGGUCUUGCUUAAUCUGUUUGGCACUGUCACAAAGUUUGAAGAAAACAAAAUGGCCUUUAUUAGCCACUGAUGUACUACGAGUGCCUGCAUCCAUAUCAGUAUUUGUUCUUGGUGAAGAAAUUCUGUUCCUCCCAAGGGCUGCCCUUCUCUGACACUUCCUUUUCAUUUUGAUGAGCUUCUUGGGGCUUAUCAUGCUGUCCUACUCUCUAAAUUAUUGAUGGAUGGGCAUAUUUUGAAAAACACAUGCAUCAUGACCCUGUUUUUUCUCGUUUCAAAUAAGCACAUCAAGGUGCAUACCAAGGAUGAGAUCUCAUCCUACCUCCUUAUAUGGUUUAAGGACACAUCAUAUUCAAUUUAGCUGGAACCAACCUUUUGAAGUCAAUUUUAUAUUUUCAAUAUCAACUUCUUGAUUUCUUUUAACUACAACAACUCAUUGAUGUGGACAAGAAUAGCAUUUCAGAAGCAUCAGUCCUGUUUUUGGGAGAGUUCAUUGCAAUAUAUCUGGUAAUAUUAGACAAGAAUUUACAAUUUUCCCUCAAUAAGAUUCUUCCAUGAAAGCUUAUUUCCAUAACAUAUUCGUAUUGCCAGCAAUUGUUCUAUUUCACUUUCAACACAUUCUUGCUGAUGAGCAGCAGCUUCUCUCUUGUAAUUAAUUGACAGAAAACUGUAAUGAAUUCAUAGCAAUUUUGCAUAAAAAUAUCCUGAAUUAAUCUUACUUUUUCCUCAUAUUUUAGAUGAUGAAUUAUAUCACCAAGAGAAAAAUCAAGUAAAGGCUAUGUCCUAGGAAUAACUGGUUAGAUGGCUGCAACAAUUAUUUUUUUCAUUUUGAGGCAAUACGCAAUAAUUUAAGAGGGAGACAAGAAACACAUGAAGAAAAUGCCUUUGAAUUCUCACUAUAUAUAUUAUCAAACUAAACUUGUGUGGAUCAUUUACAAAAUUUCAGUAUGACCUCUUCAGAAGGCACAUAAUAGUAAUGGUUCAUUGUUCUGUUCUUGAUGGAAGUAUGAAGAAGAUGAGCGGUUACUUGAAGCUAUAGACAUGAUCAAAGCUCUCUCUAAAUCUUUUGCAACUCCUUGUUGGAUGAAUGAAAUCACAUAAUCCAUAAAGACUGAAUCACAUGGCAAUAUGAUGGGGCCUGCACUUUGUAUCCCAAACUCCUCUUCAGACAUUUGGAAAAGCUCUCUGAAGACUUCACUGCCAAGAUAUGCCAAGGGAAUCACAAAGCGUUUUCUGUCAGAGGUGUAAACAACAAAAUGGCCCUUAUCAGCCACUGUUGACGUGCUGCAGCUGUCUGCAUCCACUUCCCUGUUGAUUCUUUGUAACAAAAUCCUCUUCCUUCCAAGGGCCGCUACCUUCUGCCACUUCCUUGCCAUUCUGAUGAGUUUCUUUGGGCUGAUCAUGCUGUCCUAGUCUCAAGUUGGAGGGAGAAUAAUUGAAGCAAGAAUUUUCAGAAAGAAGGGAGAUUUGCAGCUAGAACUCUAGAAAGGUGGUGUUGUGCUGAUUGGAAGUCAAUGCAAGUUGGCUAUUAUAUAUUACUGAGCCCCAAUUCAGUCCCUGAAACUGUAAACUGAUGUUAGGUUUGGUUGGGUGCAAAGCCAUGUGCUGCAUGGACAAGGAGGGGCCUUCAAGAAGUGGCUGAGAAGGUGCUGCAUGAAGAGUCAAGGUGGAGCAAUGAGCAAAGCCACUCAGUAUAUUUGGUCCUAUCUGCCAAGUGGUUUAGUGACAACAAAUCCAAUCCCUUUAGCUGGAAACCGACAACAGAUAGUCUGAACAAAGACGGAAAAAUAAACAAAUCAUGGAGGGAACAAUAUAUUAACUGAUCCUUUGCUUUCUUAUAUCAAUUGGGUACAUAUGGAAUUUAGGAGGGUCAGGGUUUUAGAACCUGAAAAGCCACAUAAUGUACAAGCCACUCAAUGCCUAUACACAGUGACUGAAGUUUCCCCCAUGUUGGGUUGCAUAUGAUAUGGAGAUCAAACUUAACUGAAAGAAAAAAGGAAGUUCUAAAAAUUUACAAUCUAUUUCUCAAGGUAGAGAAAGAUGUAGAUCCAAACAAGGAACAUGGCUUGCACACAGUGGGAAGGAACCAAGUGGGAUUUACAAAGCAUGGAAGAUUUUGAGAUCUGGGCAUGUUUGCUUGCUGUUCAAAGGCCACUAAUUUAAUUCAUACAUGAUACCACAAGUAUUACUUUUCCCCCUGUUUUCUCAGCAGCCAAACACAAUUAUAAGAGUAAAAGAAACAAAAAAAGAAAGAAAGAAAGAAAGAAAGAAAGAAAGGAAGUCACCUGUUUGUAAGUGGGGUUUGUG
RNAcentral lists this long non-coding RNA (7487 nucleotides) under Vitis vinifera (wine grape). Its description in RNAcentral is "long non-coding RNA (VVIN_LNC000645)". Lineage: Eukaryota; Viridiplantae; Streptophyta; Magnoliopsida; Vitales; Vitaceae. The record is from RNAcentral.